CAACAAAGGAAGCAUCCUUCAACAAAGCCAGCGGGCUCUCAAUCUCCUCCCCAUUCUCGCCAACAGCAUCAAGAUCCCGCGCCCAAUCUGGCUUCCCCUCAGCCUCCUUCCACAACAUUCUCGAAUUCAACACAAACCCUGACCACUCCAUCUUAGUCGGUAACACAGUACCAGCCUCACCAACAUACGUCGCAGUUUUGUUCAUAUAUGGCAGCGAGUUAAAGGUAUGCCACCCAACCAGCUGAUUAGAGGAG
This 254-nucleotide unclassified non-coding RNA is filed under the name Hevea brasiliensis (rubber tree). Lineage: Eukaryota; Viridiplantae; Streptophyta; Magnoliopsida; Malpighiales; Euphorbiaceae. The record is from RNAcentral.